RNAcentral lists this ribosomal RNA (253 nucleotides) under uncultured bacterium. Its description in RNAcentral is "partial 16S ribosomal RNA". It matches the Rfam family "Bacterial small subunit ribosomal RNA", at positions 524 to 776 of the family's 1533-position model. The record is from RNAcentral.
UACGGGGGAUGCAAGCGUUAUCCGGAAUGAUUGGGCGUAAAGGGUCUGUAGGUGGGUGAGAAAGUCUUCUGUUAAAAACCUGGGCUUAACCCAGUCAGAGCAGUAGAAACUUCUCACCUAGAGUACGGUAGGGGCAGAGGGAACUCCCGGUGUAGCGGUGAAAUGCGUUGAUAUCGGGAAGAACACCGAUGGCGAAAGCGCUCUGCUGGGCCGAAACUGACACUGAGGGACGAAAGCUAGGGGAGCGAAAGGG